RNAcentral lists this ribosomal RNA (850 nucleotides) under Marinococcus halotolerans. RNAcentral describes it as "bacterial SSU rRNA". It matches the Rfam family "Bacterial small subunit ribosomal RNA", at positions 56 to 868 of the family's 1533-position model. Lineage: Bacteria; Bacillati; Bacillota; Bacilli; Caryophanales; Bacillaceae. The record is from RNAcentral.
UGCAAGUCGAGCGCGGGAAGCCGGCGGACUCCUUCGGGAGGAACCGGUGGAACGAGCGGCGGACGGGUGAGUAACACGUGGGCAACCUGCCGGACUGAUGGGAAUAACCCCGGGAAACCGGGGCUAAUGCCCAAUACGCCCUGACCUCGCCUGAGGUCAGCGGUAAAGCAGGGAUCUUCGGAUCCUUGCACAGUCCGAUGGGCCCGCGGCGCAUUAGCUAGUUGGAGAGGUAAGGGCUCCCCAAGGCGACGAUGCGUAGCCGACCUGAGAGGGUGAUCGGCCACACUGGGACUGAGACACGGCCCAGACUCCUACGGGAGGCAGCAGUAGGGAAUCAUCCGCAAUGGGCGAAAGCCUGACGGUGCAACGCCGCGUGAGUGAUGAAGGUUUUCGGAUCGUAAAGCUCUGUUGACAGGGAAGAACCCACGUCAGUCGAACAGGCUGGCGUGCUGACGGUACCUGUCCAGAAAGCCCCGGCUAACUACGUGCCAGCAGCCGCGGUAAUACGUAGGGGGCAAGCGUUGUCCGGAAUUAUUGGGCGUAAAGGGCACGCAGGCGGUUUCGUCAGUCCGAUGUGACAGGCCACGGCUCAACCGUGGAAGGCCAUUGGAAACUGCGAAACUUGAGGACAGAAGAGGAGAGUGGAAUUCCACGUGUAGCGGUGAAAUGCGUAGAUAUGUGGAGGAACACCAGUGGCGAAGGCGACUCUCUGGUCUGUACCUGACGCUGAGGUGCGAAAGCAUGGGGAGCAAACAGGAUUAGAUACCCUGGUAGUCCAUGCCGUAAACGCUGAGUGCUAGGUGUUAGGGGUUUCGAUACCCGUAGUGCCGAAGCUAACGCAUUAAGCACU